GAACUAAUUCUAGCCCUAUUACCAAAUAACAUAACUAAACUAUUGUAUAAACUAAAACAUUUAACCCAAAAAGUAUUGGAGAAAGAAAUUUACCUUAUUAGGAGCUAUAGAGAAAGUACCGUAAGGGAAUGAUGAAAGAUCAAUUUAAAGUAACAAAAAGCAAAGAUUAAACCUUGUACCUUUUGCAUAAUGAGUUAACUAGAAAAAACUUAACAAAAAGAAUUUAAGCUAAGAACCCCGAAACCAAACGAGCUACCUAAAAACAAUUUUAUGAAUGAACCCGUCUAUGUAGCAAAAUAGUGGGAAGAUUUUUAGGUAGAGGUGAAAAGCCUAUCGAGCUUGGUGAUAGCUGGUUGCCCAAAAAAGAAUUUCAGUUCAACUUUAAGCUUACCCUAAGAACACUAAAUCAAAAUGUAAACUUAAAAUAUAACCAAAAGAGGGACAGCUCUUUAGGUAAAGGAAAAAACCUUAAAUAGUGAAUAAAUAACUAAUAAUUAAUUCAACCAUUGUAGGCUUAAAAGCAGCCAUCAAUAAAGAAAGCGUUCAAGCUCAACAUGCCUGUAUAUACUAAUUCCAUAAACCUCAAUAAAUUCCUAUAAAAUUAAUUGGGCCAAUCUAUAAAUCCAUAGAUGAAAUACUGUUAAUAUGAGUAACAAGAACUUAUUCUCCUAGCACUAGUGUAUGACAACCCGGAUAACCAUUGUCAAUUACCGAACUUUAGGUAUUAAACCCAUAAUAAAACUACCUAAUUUCAACUCGUUAACCCAACACAGGUGUGCCCUAAGGAAAGAUUAAAAAAAGUAAAAGGAACUCGGCAAUCACGAACCCCGCCUGUUUACCAAAAACAUCACCUCUAGCAUAACAAGUAUUAGAGGCAUUGCCUGCCCAGUGACUAAAGUUUAACGGCCGCGGUAUCCUGACCGUGCAAAGGUAGCAUAAUCACUUGUUCCUUAAUUAGGGACUAGAAUGAAUGGCUAAACGAGGGUUCAACUGUCUCUUACUUUCAAUCAGUGAAAUUGACUUUCCAGUGAAGAGGCUGGAAUAUUAAAAUAAGACGAGAAGACCCUAUGGAGCUUUAAUUUACUAGUUUAAUUUAUAUAAAGACAACCUAAUGGCCUAAAACAAAAUAAAUAUAAACUAAAAAAUUUCGGUUGGGGUGACCUCGGAGAAUAAAAAAUCCUCCGAAUGAUUUUAACUUAGACCUACAAGUCAAAGUAAUACUAAUAUCUCAUUGACCCAAUUAUUGAUCAACGGACCAAGUUACCCUAGGGAUAACAGCGCAAUCCUAUUUAAGAGUCCAUAUCGACAAUUAGGGUUUACGACCUCGAUGUUGGAUCAGGACAUCCCAAUGGUGCAGAAGCUAUUAAUGGUUCGUUUGUUCAACGAUUAAAGUCCUACGUGAUCUGAGUUCAGACCGGAGCAAUCCAGGUCGGUUUCUAUCUAUUUACAAUUUCUCCCAGUACGAAAGGACAAGAGAAAUGGAGCCACCUUACCACAAGUGCCCCAAAUAAAUUUAUGAAAAAAAUCUUAACAAAAUAUAUAUGUACAAAAAUAAACCUAGAUCAGGUUAU
RNAcentral lists this ribosomal RNA (1571 nucleotides) under Sundamys muelleri (Mueller's giant Sunda rat). RNAcentral's name for it is "16S ribosomal RNA". It matches the Rfam family "Bacterial large subunit ribosomal RNA". The record is from RNAcentral. Lineage: Eukaryota; Metazoa; Chordata; Mammalia; Rodentia; Muridae.